Molecule: ribosomal RNA, 222 nt
Filed under: uncultured bacterium
Lineage: Bacteria
Description: partial 16S ribosomal RNA
Rfam family: Bacterial small subunit ribosomal RNA
Source: RNAcentral
GAUCUCGAAAGCCUGUCCCAGUUCGGACUGGAGUCUGCAACCCGACUCCACGAAGUUGGAUUCGCUAGUAAUCGCGCAUCAGCCAUGGCGCGGUGAAUACGUUCCCGGGCCUUGUACACACCGCCCGUCAAGCCAUGGGAGCCGGGGGCGCCUGAAGUCCGGGACCGCGAGGACCGGCCUAGGGCGAAACUGGUAACUGGGGCUAAGUCGUAACAAGGUACC